This 788-nucleotide unclassified non-coding RNA is filed under the name Hevea brasiliensis (rubber tree). Lineage: Eukaryota; Viridiplantae; Streptophyta; Magnoliopsida; Malpighiales; Euphorbiaceae. The record is from RNAcentral.
GUUCAUCACUAAAUACUCAUGAAAGUGUAGCUUCUUCAUGAUUAACAAGAAGUUAGUGUUACCGUAAAGCUCAACUUAUCUGAAGAAACAUCAAUGAACAGAAAGAUAAACCGUCAAAUAACAAAUAAAGAGAGGCACACAAGUCAGAAGUAAGCAAAUGGUAACACUAACUUGCAAUCUAGCAUUACCAAGUUCAAAAAUAAAGGAGCCAUCUUUUCUUAGCGCGCCAGUGUGAGAAAGUACAUUAUUGCUCCAGCUCUCCAAAAAUCAUCACACGUCUUCAUUUUGGGCAAAGUAGUAAAUGAGGAAAGGACAUCAAAUGAGGGUCCUAUAGGUCUUGCUAGAUACCUUCUGAGAGCCAACUGUAACUACGGAGAGAGUCAGUAAGCAUAGAAGUCAUCAAAGCCGAAGCAGUGACCGUGUGGUAUGGUUGCAGUGACACCAAACAAGCGCUCAUCUCAGAAGGACACCUGAAGAUGCGAUGAGAAAGAGAACUUUUAGAAGGCGUGCGCAAGGGAGAUCGAGCGGCUUUAGCCUCCGAUGCGAUCCUUGAUGCCGCAUUACGCAGGGACGGUGACCGGAAAAUGGAUCUAGCGGCGGCGAUGGCCAUGGGAAAGGAGAAACAAGCGUUCAGGAUGUAUGCUAAUGGAGAAAAGAUUUACUGUUGAAAUGAAAUUAGAGGGUUUUGGGCCAAACCCUAGCGGAAUGCUUGGCUUGGCUGCACCUUCGAGUCGGCUUUACUUUGGAGGAGUGCAAAAAUAGCCAAAUUGAAGGAUCCUAUUUAAGGU